Molecule: ribosomal RNA, 253 nt
Filed under: uncultured bacterium
Lineage: Bacteria
Description: partial 16S ribosomal RNA
Rfam family: Bacterial small subunit ribosomal RNA
Source: RNAcentral
AACGUAGGAGACAAACGUUAUCCGGAGUUACUGGGCGUAAAGAGCUCGUAGGCGGUCGGGUAAGUCGGGUGUGAAAUCUCCGGGCUCAACUCGUAGGGGCCACCCGAUACUGCACGACUCGAGUCCGGUAGGGGAGUGGGGAAUUCCUGGUGUAGCGGUGAAAUGCGCAGAUAUCAGGAGGAACACCGGUGGCGAAGGCGCCACUCUGGGCCGGUACUGACGCUGAGGAGCGAAAGCGUGGGUAGCAAACAGG